GUAAUAGUUAUGUUCUUGAAACUUAAAAAAUUUGGCGGUAUUUUAGUCUAUUCAGAGGAACUUGUCCUAUAAUUGAUAAUCCACGUUGGACCUUACUUAAGUUUGUAAUCAGUUUAUAUACCGUCGUUAGCAGAAUAUUUUAAAAGAAUAAUAAUUUUCUUAAAUUUAUAAAUAGUUUUAUUUCAGAUCAAGGUGUAGCUAAUAUUUAAGUAGAGAUGAGUUACAUUAAAUGUAUUUAUAUGGAGAUAGUUAUGAAAAAAUUAUUGAAAGUGGAUUUGGAAGUAAAUUUAUAAAGAU
Molecule: ribosomal RNA, 297 nt
Filed under: Teleopsis nr. dalmanni 2 MS-2015
Lineage: Eukaryota; Metazoa; Arthropoda; Insecta; Diptera; Diopsidae
Description: partial 12S ribosomal RNA
Source: RNAcentral